UUUUUUUGUUAUGAUCUAAUGACGUUCAUUACACAAUGUUUGUAAAAUUGAAUCAGAAGAUUCAAUCAAACGGUUCACAGGUGUAGAUGGAUAUAGUUUAAGCCAAGAUGGCAAUCACUAAUGAUCCUUCCGCAGGUUCACCUACGGAAA
This 150-nucleotide unclassified non-coding RNA is filed under the name uncultured fungus. Its description in RNAcentral is "sequence contains ITS1". Lineage: Eukaryota; Fungi. The record is from RNAcentral.